Molecule: long non-coding RNA, 1296 nt
Organism: Papio anubis (olive baboon)
Lineage: Eukaryota; Metazoa; Chordata; Mammalia; Primates; Cercopithecidae
Source: Ensembl
AUGUACACACUCCAUACACCACACACACCACAGAUACACACACGCACACAUGUACACACUCCAUACACCACAGACCACACAUACUUGCGCAUGCACACAUAUACACACUCUAUAAACCACACAUACACAAGCACACAUGUACACACUCCAUACACCACACACACUACACAUACACACCACACAUACACGCACAUGCACACAGGUACACGCUCCAUAAACCCCACAUACACCACAUACACACAUGCACACAUGUACACACUCCAUACACCACACACACCACACAUACACACGUGCACACAUGUACACACCCCAUACACCACACACACCACACACCAUUGGCCACAUACACACACACAUGCACACAUGUACACACUGUAUACACCACACAUACACGUGUACACAUGUACACACGCCAUACACCACACACACACAAACACCUGCACACACGUACACACUACACACACCACACACGUACACACACGUGCACACAUGUACACAUUCCAUACACCACACAUAUAUACACACGCACAUGCACACACAUACACACUCCAUACACCACACACAUACAUGCACCUGCACACACGUACAUUACUCCAUACACCACACACAUACACACACGUGCACACAUGUGCACACUCCAUAGACCACACACAUACACACAUGCACAUGCACACAUGUACACACUCCAUACACCGCACAUACACACACACAUGCACACAUGUACACACUCCAUGCAUCACACAAACACACACGUGCACACAUGUACACACUCCAUACACCACACACGCACCUGCACACAUGUACACACUCCAUACACCACACACACCACACAUACACACACGCACGUGCACACAUGUACACACUCCAUACACCACACAUACACAUGCACGUGCACACAUGUACACACUCCAUACACCCACACACGCUGCAUACACUGAGAAAAGACAGGGCGUCCUUGAGCCGGUGUCUUCCCCUCUGGCCCCGUGUGGAGACCACAUGAGCCUCACACCAGGUAUUGUAGGGGACAGGCUCUGGGGGCCCCGCAGCUGGAGAGCCCUGGACAUCCCUACAGAAGCAGGCACCUGCACGGUGGCCGCCCCACCUCCUUCCCCGCCACAGCUAGCAGCCAGCACCCCCCCUUCCCGCCCCGCAGCAGCAGCACAUGGAAAGUUGGAGGCGGCAGGCCACUCCGAGCAGGGCGGCGGCGAGGGCCCUGCCAAGCACGAAGGGUCACACUGGCAGGCUCCUCGCUGCAGCGAUUUACGAAGGCCGUCCGGAGCCUGGCCAAGUCUGUAA